Molecule: long non-coding RNA, 1018 nt
Filed under: Heterocephalus glaber (naked mole-rat)
Lineage: Eukaryota; Metazoa; Chordata; Mammalia; Rodentia; Bathyergidae
Description: lncRNA (ENSHGLG00000041955.1)
Source: RNAcentral
AGAGAGCCCAUGAUUGGGUGGUUUUGCUUUGUGCGCUGCCUAGGUGCCGAGUUUUGCUGGGUGUACGAAAGGUGGACUUGGGCUAAGAGGGCGGAGCGCACAGGUUAGACUUGGGCAAUUUCAGAGCAACUUCGUGGGCACUGAAACCUGAAGUGGCUGCGUUGUGCGGUGUACCAAUGCCCAGUCUGUCCGGGUUAGGACGUGGGCGACGGAUCUGUACCUGUUGACCAAUGAGAACUUGAGAUGCCGUGGGAACCCAGAGAAAACAUGGGUAGGGAGAUCUUCCUGGAAAGGGAUUAAACCCAGGCCCUUGUGCAUGCAGGGCAGCUCCUAUAUCUAUGUGCUAGAUGAAAUGAGGGAAGAUAAGGGGAGAGUAAAAAGAAUGUAGAAGAAAAAAGAUGGAGAAAAAAGGGAAGAAAAUGAUGAUAAGGUAUCAAUGAUGGCAGCAGCAUUUCCUGACUUCUGUACACACUGUUCAUCCUUUGCAGUGUCAUGGUCACACACCUGUUGUCUGUAUGUGUGGCUCCACGUUGGUCCAUGUUUUCUUCACCAAUACCUCACUGUCUGGACCACUAUGGCUUUGGAAUAUAUCGUGUGCCCUGGGAGGUGGUUUCCCAUCUUGUUCUCAAGAUUGAUCUGUCCUUGUCCCUGUUACCUCCAAAGUCAAUUAUAGAAGUAAUUUAAGCUCCAUGAAAACUUCAGUGUAUACAUCAUUAAAAUGUACUUGAAAUUUUAUAUGAAGUGGAGAUAACUAGUAACCUUAUGACUUUUUAGUUAUUUGUAAUGAAUGUAUCAUAACUCUCCUUUCAUUUUGGUUUUUAAUAACUAUUAGUGAUGUUUUAUACAUUUAUUCCUAAUGAUAAUGCAUGGUUUUGUAUUUAAACUAAUGUAUCUCAUCAUCUGUUUCCUGUUUAAAUAAAUUUUAAAUCAAAAUUUCUUAGAACUGUAGAGAGAUAACAUAUUAGUCUAAUUAUUUUAUAUUCAUAGAUUUAUGGAAAUUUGUAUACUUAUAGUUUGG